RNAcentral lists this non-coding RNA (30 nucleotides) under Halopenitus malekzadehii. Lineage: Archaea; Methanobacteriati; Methanobacteriota; Halobacteria; Halobacteriales; Haloferacaceae. The record is from RNAcentral.
GUUUCAGACGAAUCCUCGUGGGGUUGAAGA